Molecule: ribosomal RNA, 253 nt
Filed under: uncultured bacterium
Lineage: Bacteria
Description: partial 16S ribosomal RNA
Rfam family: Bacterial small subunit ribosomal RNA
Source: RNAcentral
CACGUAGGAGGCGAGCGUUGUCCGGAAUCAUUGGGCGUAAAGAGCGCGCAGGCGGCUUGGCAAGUCGGGUGUGAAAUCCCGGGGCUCAACCCCGGGACUGCAUUCGAUACUGUCAGGCUAGAGGUAGGUAGGGGAGAUCGGAAUUCCUGGUGUAGCGGUGAAAUGCGCUGAUAUCAGGAGGAACACCGGUGGCGAGGGCGGAUCUCUGGGCCUUACCUGACGCUCAGGCGCGAAAGCUAGGGGAGCGAACAGG